This 72-nucleotide transfer RNA is filed under the name Caudoviricetes sp. Its description in RNAcentral is "tRNA-Trp". It matches the Rfam family "tRNA". From Rfam's summary of the family: Transfer RNA (tRNA) molecules are approximately 80 nucleotides in length. Their secondary structure includes four short double-helical elements and three loops (D, anti-codon, and T loops). Lineage: Duplodnaviria; Heunggongvirae; Uroviricota; Caudoviricetes. The record is from RNAcentral.
AGGGCGAUCGGUUAAUGGCUAAACCAAUGGUCUCCAAAACCAUGACUGUAGGUUCGAAUCCUACUCGCCCUG